CGAACGGUAGCCAAUUACGGUUGGUGAGAGUGGCGAACGGGUGAGUAACACGUAGAAGACCUGCCCUCAGGUGGGGGACAACUUGUGGAAACGCAAGCUAAUACCCCAUAAGCUCACGGGAGUUAGAGAGCCGUGAGAAAAGGUUGAACUGCCUGAGGAUGGUUCUGCGGUCCAUCAGCUAGUUGGUGAGGUAAAGGCUCACCAAGGCGACGACGGAUAGGGGGCCUGAGAGGGUGACCCCCCACACUGGGACUGAGACACGGCCCAGACUCCUACGGGAGGCAGCAGUGAGGAAUAUUGCACAAUGGGCGCAAGCCUGAUGCAGCAACGCCGCGUGGGUGAAGAAGGUUUUCGGAUCGUAAAGCCCUUUUCUGUGUGACGAGGAAGGACGGUAGCACAGGAAUAAGUGUCGGCUAACUACGUGCCAGCAGCCGCGGUAAAACGUAGGACGCAAGCGUUAUCCGGAGUUACUGGGCGUAAAGAGCGCGCAGGCGGAUGAUUAAGUCGUGUAUGAAAGCCCCUGGCUAAACUGGGGGAGGCUAGACGAUACUGGUUGUCUAGAGUGGGUGAGAGGGAUGUGGAAUUCCGCGUGUAGUGGUGAAAUGCGUAGAUAUGCGGAGGAACACCAGAGGCGAAGGCGGCAUCCUGGCACUCAACUGACGCUGAGGC
This 669-nucleotide ribosomal RNA is filed under the name uncultured bacterium. RNAcentral's name for it is "bacterial SSU rRNA". It matches the Rfam family "Bacterial small subunit ribosomal RNA", at positions 63 to 752 of the family's 1533-position model. The record is from RNAcentral.